RNAcentral lists this ribosomal RNA (782 nucleotides) under uncultured Neocallimastigales. RNAcentral describes it as "partial large subunit ribosomal RNA". It matches the Rfam family "Eukaryotic large subunit ribosomal RNA", at positions 22 to 628 of the family's 3401-position model. The record is from RNAcentral. Lineage: Eukaryota; Fungi; Neocallimastigomycota; Neocallimastigomycetes; Neocallimastigales.
GUACACGCUGUGACUAGCAUAUCAAUAAGCGGAGGAAAAGAAACUAACAAGGAUUCCCCUAGUAACGGCGAGUGAAGCGGGAAGAGCUCAAAUUUGAAAUCUUAAAGGGUUUCCCUUUACGAAUUGUAGUUUAAAGAAGUGUUUUCUGUUGAGGUUUUGGUAAAAGUUCUUUGGAAUAGGACAUCAUAGAGGGUGAGAAUCCCGUAUUUGACCUUUACUUUCAACUUUGUGAUACACUUUCAAGAGUCGGAUUGUUUGGGAAUGCAGUCCAAAAUGGGUGGUAAAUUUCAUCUAAAGCUAAAUAUUGGCGAGAGACCGAUAGCGAACAAGUCACCGUGAGGGAAAGAUGAAAAGAACUUUGAAAAGAGAGUUAAACAGUACGUGAAAUUGUCAAAAGGGAAGCGUUUGACACCAGUGUUGUUUUUCUGAAAAUCAAUUAUAAGAACUGUUUAUGCUAGAGCUGUUAUGACUUUAUCAGGCUACUGUUCUAGUUUCACGAACUUUCUGUAAUGCACUUUUCAGGUUAACAAGUCAACAUCAAUUUCUUUUGCUGUAAAAGAGCUUUAGGAAGGUGGCUUGAUAUUCGGCUGAAAGUGUUUAUAGCCUCUUGCCUAUGCAAGUCGGAGAGAUUGAGGUCUGCAGCGUAGAUCCUUCGGGGCUAGAUACACUUUGUGCUAAGUUAUAGCAUUUUAUAGACAACCUGUUGACUAUGAUUUGUCUUGUAGCUUACUCGCUUAUGUUAUUUUACCUACGCUUAGGAUGUUGAGUCGUAGAGCACGCAG